GGUCACUCUGGGCACCGCAACA
RNAcentral lists this microRNA (22 nucleotides) under Canis lupus familiaris (dog). RNAcentral describes it as "Cfa-Mir-1301_5p* (star (passenger))". The record is from RNAcentral. Lineage: Eukaryota; Metazoa; Chordata; Mammalia; Carnivora; Canidae.